Molecule: ribosomal RNA, 440 nt
Filed under: uncultured bacterium
Lineage: Bacteria
Description: partial 16S ribosomal RNA
Rfam family: Bacterial small subunit ribosomal RNA
Source: RNAcentral
CCUACGGGUGGCAGCAGUGGGGGAUAUUGCACAAUGGGGGAAACCCUGAUGCAGCGACGCCGCGUGAGUGAAGAAGUAUUUCGGUAUGUAAAGCUCUAUCAGCAGGGAAGAAAAUGACAGUACCUGACCAAGAAGCCCCGGCGAACUACGUGCCAGCAGCCGCGGUAAUACGGAGGGGGCAAGCGUUAUCCGGAUUUACUGGGUGUAAAGGGAGCGUAGACGGUUAAGUAAGUCAGGAGUGAAAGGCCGGGGCCCAACCCCGGGACUGCAUUUGAAACUGUGUAACUGGAGUACAGGUGGGGCAGGCGGAAGUCCGGGUGUAGCGGUGAAAUGCGUAGAUAUCAAGAAGAACCCCGGCGGCGAAGGCAGCCUUCUAGACUGAAACUGACAUUGAUGCUCGAAAGCGUGGGGAGCAAACAGGAUUAGAUACCCCGGUAGUC